UUUUUUUUUCUCCAGCCACUGGGGGUUUAGGUAGCUGGCCUCUGUCAGCCUCAGAUCUUUGCUGUGUCUCAGAAGAUAUUUGGGGGAAGAUAUUCUGCCACUGGGCCACACUGGGGUCUACUGUUAAAAACUUUUCUCUGCUAAGGAACUUUGGUUCCUCUUAAGUGAGACCCAAUGUAGACCUGCUCUUGAAGUCAGUACCCUAUAUCAACACAUCUCUGCUAAGUUUUUUUUUUAAUGACACAGCAUGUCACCUCAAACUUCUCUGACAAGCACCUUUGCAAGCUCAGUGUUCUAACUCUGCCAAGCGAAAACUGUGAAUCAUUGAGGUUUCGUCACUUUCUUAAGGCAGAUCUCAACCCCAAGUGUAUGGCUCCAUCAGAAACACACACUCUGUUCCCAGGUCUCUAUGCAUAGGCGAAACAAAGCCAAGGGAGAAAGCAGAGUUGGCUCUGCUCUGGCAAUGAGAGGAAAGGCAGUUGUAGACAGGUCCAGCUUUGAGAGUCCAGGACCCGGACAGCUGGAAGAGAUAGAUCAUCAAAUGCCCUCAAGCCAGGCUGACUUCCCUGUGAGGAUCUGGGGAAGCUGCUGCAGACUUCCUGGUCCUGGCUUGGAAGCAUCUCCCUAAUCUGGCCCUGAGUGACAUGAGUGACUAUAGUCCACUAUCAUGAACCAAUGGAGCCAGGGGUCUCCAGGCAACCUCUCAGAAGUCUUCAAGCCAAAAGAGCAGGGUCAUUGUCAAUGUUAACACUGUAAUCCAGCUUUCUUUGGGUCAUAGAAGUACAUCCUCUAGCAAUAUAUUUGGGGUGCAGUUGUCCCUCUAGAAAAUUCUGUUUAGAAACAGACCAUGUUCUUGACCAACAUCACAAAUAGGGUCCAACAAUGGUCUCCAAAGACUUCUCAUUUAUCACUGACCACU
This 919-nucleotide long non-coding RNA is filed under the name Mus musculus (house mouse). RNAcentral describes it as "long non-coding RNA chr9:34693815-34694734". The record is from RNAcentral. Lineage: Eukaryota; Metazoa; Chordata; Mammalia; Rodentia; Muridae.